UCAGUAAACUCAUUUUUUUAUUUGGUCUGCUUUAACUUGUGCACUGUGAACCGAACCAGACUAAAUAGGAAAUGAACCAAAAGUAUAAAUUUCACUCUGAUUCGGACUAGCCAAACGGACUAUGGCUUGUGAAAGCGCCCUUAAACUGUUAAAUAGGCCCCAUCCACAG
Molecule: long non-coding RNA, 169 nt
Organism: Sebastes umbrosus (honeycomb rockfish)
Lineage: Eukaryota; Metazoa; Chordata; Actinopteri; Perciformes; Sebastidae
Exons: 3
Source: RefSeq, a predicted model, not a curated record